RNAcentral lists this ribosomal RNA (255 nucleotides) under uncultured archaeon. RNAcentral describes it as "partial 16S ribosomal RNA". It matches the Rfam family "Archaeal small subunit ribosomal RNA", at positions 748 to 1009 of the family's 1478-position model. The record is from RNAcentral.
AGGGUGUAAACGCUGCAGACUUGGUGUUGGGAACCCUUCGGGGGUGCUCAGUGCCGGAGAGAAGUUGUUAAGUCUGCUACUUGGGGAGUACGUCCGCAAGGAUGAAACUUAAAGGAAUUGGCGGGGGAGCACCGCAACGGGAGGAGCGUGCGGUUUAAUUGGAUUCAACGCCGAAAAACUCACCAGCAGCGGAAUGAUUGCCGGGCUGAAGACCCUGCAUGACCAGCUGAGAGGUGGUGCAUGGCGUAGUCGUGU